Pelobates cultripes (western spadefoot toad) is the source of this 201-nucleotide non-coding RNA. The record is from the annotation of a GenBank genome assembly. NCBI's taxonomy places the organism in Eukaryota, Metazoa, Chordata, Amphibia, Anura, Pelobatidae.
UUUCAGGUUCACAUCAUGCUCAGAGCAGGAGCUUGGGAGAAGGAUUUUUACUGGAAUAAUAGAAGAAAAUGUUAGCUCUGUCCCAACAAUGUCCACUGAGCUCUAUAAUCCAGGAGCUGAGCUAUAAGGUCAUCACACAGGAGACAAAAGGUUCUACACCACAUUUCCGAGGAAGUUCUAGGGACCUGUUAGUGAUGCUGG